CCGCUGAGUCUGGGGGGCUGAAACCACAGAGGCUGCAGACCUGGUUCUUACACUCUGUGCAGUUACUGUAAUUGGGUGUGUCCUUAGACCCGAUGUUCAGCUGGGUGGUCUUACACAGUGGACAGAGUCCACCGCCGGGCUUUCCAGCCACCGGCUGACCAGGAGGACCUCCGCUCUUUGCUGAUUCUCCAGGAUGAGCCCCAGGGCCUGGUGGCCCUUGCUGUUUGGGCCCAGGUCCUUGUUGAGGAGAUGCACCUUUUUGCUGGGGAGGGCCAACCGGUUUGGUGCCUUGACCUGGUGGACCUUGACCAGGUUUGGGGCCUUGUCCCCCCUGGGGUUCGUGGCCUGGGUGACCCUGACCUUGCCUGGGGGCCUGCCCAGGGGGUCCUUGUCCUGGAGGAACCUGGCUUGCGUUGGGACCCUGGCCUGGUGUCCCUUGACCUUGCCUGGGUCCUUGGCCAUGAGGACCUUGACCUGCGUUGGGACCCUGACCUGGUUGUCCCUGACCUUGUCUGGGUCCUUGCCCAGGAGAUGCUGGACCAGACGGACCCUGACCUGCAUUGGGCCCCUGGCCUGGGGGUCCCUGACCUGGCCUGGGUCCUUGUCCCGGAGGACCCUGACCUGCCUUAGGCCCCGGGCCUGGUGGUCCCUGACCUUGUCUGGGCCCUUGGCCAGGAGAACCCGGACCUGCGUUGGGCCCCUUGCCUGGUGGUCCCUGACCUUGUCUUGGUCCUUGCCCAGGUUGUCCUUGACCUGGAGGACCCUGGCCUGGAGGUCCCUGACCUUGCCUUGGUCCCUGCCCAGGGGGUACUUGACCUGGCUUUUGCCCCUGUCCAGGAGGGCCCUGACCCUGUUUCGGAGGUCCUCCCUGUUGUGGUCCCUUAGGACCUGGCCCUUGCUGAGGGCCCUUGCCUGGUGGUUUUACUCCUUGCUUGGAUUCAGAUGAAUCUCCCUCCUCCUCAUCACCAAAUAGUCCAAACUUGGGGAUGUUGACAUUAUCGCCCAUAGAGGAUAUGGAAGAGGAGACAGAGGAGGUCAUAGAUGACACAGCACUGAGAGGGUUGGCCCCGCUGAGGAAGCUGGAUCCGAACAUGCCUGAUGACUUGGUCUCUGGGUCUUUAGGCUCCUGCCGGAAUCUCGAUUCAAAAAGGCUGAGGGACGAGGGGCUGCGGCCCGGUGAGGGCUUGCCAGGCGGACCCUGGUUGAAGGCGUCUACAGUUCGACUCUUACUGAGACCUGGAGGGCCCCUGGAGGCCCCUACCAGCUGAGUACGCUGAUGGGUAUCAGAUACGGAUGUUCUGAAAAACAGAAAAAGAUAAGACAGUUGUUUGUUAGCAGUGCUUUUAUUGCUAUGAUUGAUUUAUGUUUACGUUGGCAGCGUAUGAAAAGGCCAAAUCUAUACCAACUCAGCAUCAUAAGCUGACCCAGGGUGAAAAUGAAAACACACCAAACCCUGGAUGAAACUUCAGCGAUCCUCUCCCAAGAUUUUCC
This is a long non-coding RNA of Gasterosteus aculeatus aculeatus (three-spined stickleback), 1491 nucleotides long. Lineage: Eukaryota; Metazoa; Chordata; Actinopteri; Perciformes; Gasterosteidae. The record is from Ensembl.